This 295-nucleotide unclassified non-coding RNA is filed under the name uncultured fungus. RNAcentral's name for it is "partial contains 5.8S ribosomal RNA, internal transcribed spacer 2, and large subunit ribosomal RNA". The record is from RNAcentral. Lineage: Eukaryota; Fungi.
AACGCACCUUGCACCCUUUGGUAUUCCGAAGGGUACGCCCGUUUGAGUGUCAUUGUAAUCUCACCUCUACGGCUUUUGUCGUACGAAGUGGACUUGGGCAAUGUCGUGUAACGAUGACUGGCCUGAAAGAGAUGAGUGUACCCUGCUGUUGCAGCGUCUUCAGUGUGAUAAGCAUCUUCACUGAUCAAAGUUCCUUUGGGACACGCAUACGACGUGGGCUCUGCGCUUCGAACCGUCCUCGGACAAGCUCUGACAAUUUGAUCUCAAAUCGGGUGGGACUACCCGCUGAACUUAA